Chelonia mydas (Green sea turtle) is the source of this 2385-nucleotide RNA transcript. It is a transcript of the gene named general transcription factor IIH subunit 2, with no coding region annotated. The record is from RefSeq and is a predicted model, not a curated record. NCBI's taxonomy places the organism in Eukaryota, Metazoa, Chordata, Testudines, Cheloniidae. The transcript has 16 exons.
UUGAAUUUAAUGGGUGAAAGAGCAAAGGUUCAGAGGCCACGAGAGCGGCCAGCUCUGGCUGGGGAGAGUUUCCCCUCGCAGGAACCAAGGAAGUGCGAGGCUGGACGCGCCUUAAGGUCCAUUUCAUCCCGAGUCCCGUCUCUGACUGACGGCGGCCGCGCACUGGAGGCUGCAGCGCCUAGCACAAUACCCCUGCCAGAGCCAGUGGCAAGCGUCCAGCCCCGUGGGGUCUGGGGCCAGGUUCAGAGCCGCCUCCUCCCGAGCCGGGCCCGGGGAGGUACGAGGGCGGAAGCUCCAUGGGCCGCAGCGCAGCCAGGAGCGUGCUGGGGUCCCGUGUAACUCGGGCAGCGCCUGGGGGCGGCCGGUGUCGUGCCCCGACCCCCGGCAGCCUCGCACAGGAGCGCGCGGGGCCAGGCGGGAGGAAGAAACGUUGGUCCACAGCGCCCCGUGCCUGCCGGGGGUGGGGGACGACGGCACGUGUUACCCCCGUGUAGCUCCCCCGGGGGCCGGGCACCACUCCCCGCCCCGUUCCAGGCCGGCCCUUCCUGAAGCCGGAACGUUCCUCCUGCGGCCCGGCGCGCCGGUCGGACGAGUUGCAACAGCACCGAGCGGGUGAGGUUGGGAGUUCCGGGAGUUCGCCGCGGGGAGCUCGAGCCCGGUCCCGGCAGUAUCGUAAGCAAGCAGAUUUUGACAGACAGACAGACAUGGAUGACGAGCCUGAAAAAACUAAACGCUGGGAAGGGGGUUAUGAAAGAACAUGGGAGGUUCUCAAAGAAGAUGAAUCUGGGUCACUGAAAGCAACUAUAGAGGACAUUCUUUUUAAGGCGAAGAGAAAAAGAAUCUUUGAACACCAUGGGCAAGUUAGACUUGGAAUGAUGCGUCACCUUUAUGUGGUGGUAGAUGGAUCAAGGACUAUGGAGGACCAAGAUUUAAAACCUAACAGGCUUACUUGUACCUUAAAGUUAUUGGAAUAUUUUGUUGAAGAAUACUUUGACCAGAAUCCUAUUAGUCAGAUUGGUAUAAUUGUAACUAAGAGUAAAAGAGCUGAAAAGCUGACAGAACUUUCAGGAAACCCAAGAAAGCAUACAACUGCUCUGAAGAAAGCUGUAGAUCUGACCUGCCAUGGAGAACCAUCUCUGUAUAACUCUUUAAAUUUGGCCAUGCAGACUUUAAAGCACAUGCCAGGACAUACAAGCAGGGAGGUUUUGAUUAUCUUCAGUAGCCUGACAACGUGUGAUCCAUCUAAUAUCUAUGAUCUAAUUAAGUGUUUAAAGGCAGUUAAGAUCAGAGUAUCUGUCAUCGGCCUAUCUGCUGAAGUUCGAGUUUGUACUGUACUUGCCCGAGAAACGGGUGGAACAUACCAUGUAAUUUUAGAUGAAAGCCACUAUAAGGAGCUGCUGAUGCAUCAUAUUAGCCCUCCACCUGCCAGUUCAAGUUCUGAAUGCUCCCUUAUUCGAAUGGGGUUUCCUCAGCAUACCAUUGCGUCUCUUUCUGAUCAGGAUGCUAAACCAUCAUUUAGCAUGGCGCACUUGGAAAACAACAGUGAUCCAGGUCUCACGCUGGGUGGAUAUUUCUGUCCCCAGUGUAGAGCCAAAUACUGUGAACUCCCUGUGGAAUGCAAAAUCUGUGAUGAUUUUUUUUGGUCUUUUUUUUUUUAUUUUGACAUUCAAGGUCUUACAUUAGUCUCUGCACCCCAUCUGGCUCGGUCUUACCAUCACCUGUUUCCUUUGGAUGCCUUUCAAGAAGUUACACUGGAAGAAUAUAAAGGAGAACGCUAUUGUCAAGGCUGCCAAGGGGAGAUUAAAGAUCAGCAUGUAAGUUAUUAAAAUGUAAUGUAAUUUGCACACUGCUUCUUAAUGUAAUUUAAUCUUUGUGAAGGUCAUCAUGAUGACAAAAAAACCUGUAUGGAGACCAUCAUGUUGGCUAGAUUGAAUUCUCAGUCCUGGCUUCUCACUUUUUCGACUGCAAAUCAGCACACUUGAGGUUUACAUUUGUAAAGUCUGCCAGAAUGUAUUUUGUAUGGAAUGUGACUUAUUUGUUCAUGAUUCUCUGCACUGCUGUCCUGGCUGCAUUCACAAGGAUCCUGCUCCUCUGGGUGUAUGAUACCAGGUGUUUGUAGAGAUUGUCCUACCUGUUUCAUUCUUGCACAGAGUCAAAUUAGACUAUUCAACCACAGACUUCAGUAAGGCAACUCAAAAACAAGAAGAAAUACCUAGAUGAAUGCGGUAACAAACCCACGUUUUAGUUAAUGUAUAGAAUUGGAAUAUUUAAAUUCUCAUGGUUAAUGUUUAUAAAAAUAUCUGCAUCAUCUGAUUCAUUUCCCUAACUUGUUUUGAAAGCCUUUGACUUACUUGAGUCAUGCUAAAUAAAUGUGUAAAUCUGUAA